RNAcentral lists this ribosomal RNA (484 nucleotides) under uncultured bacterium. RNAcentral's name for it is "partial 16S ribosomal RNA". It matches the Rfam family "Bacterial small subunit ribosomal RNA", at positions 30 to 507 of the family's 1533-position model. The record is from RNAcentral.
AUUGAACGCUGGCGGCAGGCCUAACACAUGCAAGUCGAGCGGAUGAAGGGAGCUUGCUCCUGGAUUCAGCGGCGGACGGGUGAGUAAUGCCUAGGAAUCUGCCUGGUAGUGGGGGAUAACGUCCGGAAACGGGCGCUAAUACCGCAUACGUCCUGAGGGAGAAAGUGGGGGAUCUUCGGACCUCACGCUAUCAGAUGAGCCUAGGUCGGAUUAGCUAGUUGGUGGGGUAAAGGCCUACCAAGGCGACGAUCCGUAACUGGUCUGAGAGGAUGAUCAGUCACACUGGAACUGAGACACGGCCCAGACUCCUACGGGAGGCAGCAGUGGGGAAUUUUGGACAAUGGGGGAAAGCCUGAUCCAGCCAUGCCGCGUGUGUGAAGAAGGUCUUCGGAUUGUAAAGCACUUUAAGUUGGGAGGAAGGGCAGUAAGUUAAUACCUUGCUGUUUUGACGUUACCAACAGAAUAAGCACCGGCUAACUUCGUG